UCCGUAUGGGGCGAGCGUUGUUCGGAUUUAUUGGGCGUAAAGGGCGUGUAGGCGGCUCAUCAAGUCUGGCGUGAAAACGCAAGGCUUACCCUUGCAUAGGCGCUGGAAACUGGUGGGCUUGAGUUCUUGAGGGGAAGCUGGAAUUCCAGGUGUAGGGGUGAAAUCUGUAGAUAUCUGGAAGAACACCGGUGGCGAAGGCGAGCUUCUAUCAGAGGACUGACGCUGAGGCGCGAAAGCGUGGGGAGCAAACAGG
RNAcentral lists this ribosomal RNA (253 nucleotides) under uncultured bacterium. RNAcentral describes it as "partial 16S ribosomal RNA". It matches the Rfam family "Bacterial small subunit ribosomal RNA", at positions 524 to 776 of the family's 1533-position model. The record is from RNAcentral.